This is a long non-coding RNA of Branchiostoma floridae (Florida lancelet), 3238 nucleotides long. RefSeq lists it as uncharacterized. NCBI's taxonomy places the organism in Eukaryota, Metazoa, Chordata, Leptocardii, Amphioxiformes, Branchiostomatidae. The record is from RefSeq and is a predicted model, not a curated record. The transcript is spliced from 5 exons.
UUGACCAAUUAAAUCAUCGGGAUUUUUUUAGACUAAACCAAUCAUAUGGACCAGCCCCUGCGUUCACCUGUGUGUAUCCCCGAAUGUCUCGCCAUUCUGUCUGGCUUCGGUCUGGCGUCAUUCUGACUUAUAUACCUCGCAGCUCCCCACUACAGAACAACGCAACGGCCGCUAUGUGACAGAGCUCCUCCUUUGUACUUUGAGCGUCCUACCUUCGUCAUGACAGCAACACACCUGAUGGCAGCCAUCCGCCGGAGACGACUCCGGUACCUGGGCCACGUUCUCCGCAUGGACCCCUCCAGACUCAGGAUAUCAGUAUUGGAGCCAUCAAGCCAGGAUCAACUGCAUGCACUAUCCAGGGUGGGACUUAUCCUUGACUGUCCGAUGCCAUCUCCACGGCCAGCUGUACGGUGACGUCCAGAAAGAUCGGUGCUCGUGUGUACGUCAAGCCCUACCAGAGGACCUGAAACUAAGUUAAGUUCUUGUGUGUCUUAUGGGGUGCAAAUUGCCUAGCCUUAGCUUAGCAAACUCAUGGUAGAUGGUAAGAUGUUGAGUUUGUUUUGUUGACAUGCCGAGUGAUGAUUCUGGUAGGGGCUUAUAUUCAGAUACUUUGUAAGUGAAGGCCCCUUUUGAAUUCGGGGCUUUAGCUCGUUUCUGUUGUGUACAGGCCUGGUGUGUGACUGAUUUUGUUUCGGAAGGUUUCUGCGACUGCGUCGAGAGUCGGGAUUGAAUUCGGUCAGUUCUGUAAGUUCUAUUCUUUAGUUAACAGGGUCUUCCCUGGUUAACUCACCAUCUGUUCAAUUUCUGUUUUUAUGUCGUGGUCAGUGGUAUUAGGGAACCUAGACCACUACAUAAUCUGCCUUGUGUCGUUAUCUUGGGUAUAACGACACAGACCAGAAAGGAAGGCAGGUGAAUGAAAUCAUAGCUGUUAAUUCAUUUGGAAACACUAUAAUUCCCGGCGUCGACACAGUCACAGAAACUGAAUCAGCUAUGCACUGGGCUUUGUAUACCAUAGAAACAAAAAUUGCUUUCGAAAAUUAAACGAAACAAACAGCACCAUUACUUUCAUUUCAUCAAAGCGCACUCAACAUCCUGCCACCCAUCAUGAGAUCAUGAUUCUUCCAGCUAUUUCUAUGUUAACCUAUAUUUCGUAGUUUAAUUUUUAUCUUUCUUUUCUCUCGAGGAUCAUUGCACCGUAGGAAGACCUGCCUGGACGUGAGAGAGGUGACAAGGACUGGUGAAGGAAGGUGCCGAACAUGCAUGAACGAAAGGGACUUCGUAGUCUUUCCUGCACAUAUGACAAGCAAUGUCCGGACGUGCUAAGGGAAUGGUGGGCAGGGGAGGUCCCAGGUGUCACAGUCACGAAGGCGCUUCACAACAUCCGGAGAGACAGUGGUCCUGGCGGAAGGCGUCUUGGUGCCUCCUCUCGUUGUGGGAUUCCUUGGAAGUCUUCAUCAGCUUCUUCAGAAGACAUUCCAUGACUUUGUUUAGUUGUCUUGAUGGACAUGGGACCUUUCCCAGACGUUUGACAAGUUGCAACAAAUUGGGAAAGAGAGUCAUCUCUCAGCAACUUCCAGGAUCUUAUUGAUGAUCCCGGAUGAACUACGGCCUCAAUGUUCAUGGUGGGACUUAUCCCGGUGAGAGCUUGUGCGAUGCUGAUCUCCACGGUGUCGUCCAGAACGAUCGGUGCUCGUGUUUACGCCAUGCCAGAGGACCUGAAAUUGUUAAGUUCUAAUGUGUUUAGGUAGGCGUUAGAUGGCAACAUGCUGCAGAUAUGUGCGCACUAAUGUGUAAUUAGCCAUGGUAGAAAGUAAAUGAAUCGUGAGAUUGCAAUCAUUGCUUUAACUGCACGAACGAUACCCUCUGUACUUCCUGAGGGUAUUGUUGGAAGGACUGAUCACAACUUCUCGGCUGGUGUUAAGGUGCUUGAGUGCGUUUUGUUGACAUGCUGAGUUUUGUAGCCAGUAGGUGGUCAGGACAUUUUGUGAUCUGAGGCUCCUUUUGCAUUCUGCUUGUUUUAUGUUUUGUAUUAAAUUAAUGUUUUAUGUCGUGGUCAGUGGUUGUCGGGAACCUAGACCAUUACAUAAUCUGCCCCGUGUUGUUAUCGUUGGGUCCGGAACCAAGAGAACGGCACAGGCCAGAAAGGAAGACCGUUGAUAUUAGUAGUUUAGUCAUUUAACAGAAAUUGAAUCAAUGCAGAAUACAAAGUGCACACCGUUAGUCAUCAUGUAUUAUGUUAGAUACAUGUAGCUAAGCUUCAAGAAAAAUUCAGUAGAUGUCAAUAUUGCCGGUCCAUUGUACAGAGGUCUAUUGUAGCCCUUUAAAUCAACCCUUUGGAAAUUUCUCUACCUAAGGCUUAGGCUGGCGCUGUCACUAACACAAUGACACAUACACAUACACGCACACACACACACUAACAAACCCCACCAAACACACGCUGACAAAAAGCGCCUUGAAAAAAACUUUCUAUGAUUCUUAAGUUCAAAGGCUACAAGCUACCUCUAUACCGUGUACUGACAAUAUCAAAUUACUGAUUCUAGGAUAUGGAUAAAUGUAAAUGGGUUAGAUGUUAAGUUUUACGUUCAAUUUGUUAUGUUUUGAUGCUAUGGUAUUUCUUGUGUGGUUUUGAAUUUUUUUACACUUUGCAUUCAUCUAUUUAGCCAAUAAAAGCAAGUAUGCUGAAUCAGAUGUGUAGUGCUUGUUUUACACUAGACUUGAAACGAAAUGGAUUGGUUCUCCCGUCCCGCACCCUCAACCAGCCGCAAAAUGCGAGAACACAUUGAAAUCGUGCAAAUAAACGUUUAAAACUAUUCCUAACAUUAAUUUUAAACUUCGAACGACAAUCAAUGUGCAUUGCGGUUUUUGCAUCUUGCGGCUGUAGUCAGAAGAUUGGACGUUGGAAUCUUGGAAUGAAUCCUCCAGCGGCUUGCUCUGGAACUGCAGGGGUAAUUUUGUCAAAAUCAUCCUAGGAACAUAACGGAGCAUGUAGGUAUCUUUGGCAGAGAUGUACGUUAUGAAUUGCAAAUUAUGCAAAUAUGGACUUAAUCUGCUUACUUAGUGAGAAAAGUCUAUAUGUGCAGUGUUUUCCAUUAUAGGACUCAAAUACCUGUAACAUAGGUAGGUGGAAGAUUAGCCGAUAUAAAUUAAGCAAAUAAGUUCCUGAUUUGCAUAAUAUUGCAUGAAAUUAAUGUGCCCUAAAGUGUCCUAAUUCAUGUACAUGUAAUAAGUGACUGGAUUG